This 1313-nucleotide long non-coding RNA is filed under the name Mytilus galloprovincialis (Mediterranean mussel). The record is from RNAcentral. Lineage: Eukaryota; Metazoa; Mollusca; Bivalvia; Mytilida; Mytilidae.
UGAGUGUUUGAUAGCUUUCCUUUUUCAUAACAAUAAUUAAAAGUAGCGACUAUAAAAGUUUUUAAUUCUUCCCAAAAUUUUCUGUAAAAUUCAACAUUUAAUCCAUCAAGCCCAGGAGCUUUAUUUAGUUUCAUUUUAAAAAUUGCAUCAGUACAUUCAUCAACAGUUAUUUCCCCUUCACAAGUAUUACUUUCAGAGUCAUUUAAUUUUUUAUAUUCUUUUAGAGAUUCUAAAUACUUUUUUGUUUCUUCUAUCUCGGGAUUUUUUGUAGAGUACAAAUUUUUAUAAUAAUUUGCUUCUAAUUCUAAUAUUUUGUCUUGAUCUCUUGUAAUUUGACCCUUAUCAUCAUAUAAUUGGGUUAUUGUUUUUCUACUCUGUCUAGAUUUUUCCAUCCCUAGAAAAUAUGCUGAAUUUUUUUCUCCCUCUUCAACCCAUUUUACCUUGCCCUUAUUCGGUUACCUUUUAUUUUCUCAUUAUAGAGUUUUCCUAUUUCAUUUUCUAUAUUUUCUACUUUCUGUACUAAAUUGCUUUUGUUUUUGUCAUUGCAUGAUGAUUUGUCUAUAAUUUUAUUUAAUUCCGUUAACAUUUUUUCCAACUGGCUGAUUUGGUCUUUUUUAUUUUUAGCUUUUAUUUUACAAUAGUUGAUUGUCUGGUCUCUAACUUCAAUUUUGAAAUUGUCCCACAGAAUGUCAAGUUCAGUUUUAGUUUUUGCCUUGUUUUUAUAAUUUUUUAUUAUCUUAUUAAUUAUUUCAAUGUAGUCUUCAUUUUGAAGUACACUACUGUUAAGUUUCCAGUAUCCCCUUCCUUUUUGUCCUCUACUUAAAUUUAUUUUUAAGGAAACACAGUUGUGAUCUGUGUAUUGUAGUACUAUUGGUCUUAUAUCACAUGAAACACAGUUUUUGAAUACCUCAGGAGCAAUUAAAAAAUAAUCAAUUCUUGUUGACUCCGAUCUAUCUUUUCUACUCCAUGUAUAUUGAAUUUUGUUUGGAUUUCUGUUUCUCCACACAUCACUUAGUUUAAGGGACUUUAUAAGUUUAUUUAAGUUGUGAGCAGGUUUUUUUUUUAUUUUGGUGCUUAGAUUUGCUUUUUGAAUCAAUAUGGGAUAAAAUUUCGUUAAAAUCUCCUCCUAGAAUUAAUUGACCCAAACUUUUUUUUCUUCUAUUACAGCAUGUACAGUUUUAAAAAAAAUAUUUCUGCUUUUUGGAUUAUUUGGCGCAUAAAUGUUAGCUAUUGUUAUAAUAGUGUCAUCUAUUUCAAUAUUAACAAGCAAUAGCCUUCCUUCAUUAUCUUUAUAGUCAUCUAUAAUUUUAAAG